UCGCAGCCCUUGCUGCCCCAUAUAUGGUCAUUCUCACGUUUUUCUAUUUCCGUAAUUCGCGUGUUAGGCGUAUGCCACACGUGCGGGAGCGUGUUGGAUUUUUUCACAAUCAUAUUUGUUCUCACGUUUCCCUAUUUUCGUAAUCCGCGUGUUUGGCAUAUACCACACGUGCGGGAGCGUGUUGGAUUUUUUCCUUCCUGGAACUUUCUGCAGCCUCCUGGAGCUUCCUGCAGCACCUUUGUUGCCUUUUGGAGCUUCCUGCAGCACUUUUGCUGCCUUUUGGAGCUUCCUGCAGCACCUUUGCUGCCUUUUGGAGCUUCCUGCAGCACUUUUGCUGCCUUUUGGAGUUUCCUGCAGCACUUUUGCUGCCUUUUGGAGCUAUCUGCAACCUUCUGGAGCUUCCUGCUGCCUCCUAGAGCUUAUGUGGCUUCGUUCCUACAAUGUUAGGUAGCCUAACAUUGUUGAAGACUUCUCUUAGCAAGCUUGGUCUCGUGGAUAUGUUCGCCCCCGCUUGAGGGGGAGUGUUGGAAAUAAAAGAAG
RNAcentral lists this long non-coding RNA (540 nucleotides) under Actinidia chinensis (golden kiwifruit). RNAcentral's name for it is "long non-coding RNA (ACHI_LNC008219)". Lineage: Eukaryota; Viridiplantae; Streptophyta; Magnoliopsida; Ericales; Actinidiaceae. The record is from RNAcentral.